Molecule: ribosomal RNA, 380 nt
Filed under: uncultured eukaryote
Lineage: Eukaryota
Description: partial 18S ribosomal RNA
Rfam family: Eukaryotic small subunit ribosomal RNA
Source: RNAcentral
CAAUAGCGUAUAUUAAAGUUGUUGCAGUUAAAAAGCUCGUAGUUGGAUUUGUGGUGUACUUCGGCGGCCCGUCACUAUGUGAUGGAGCUUGCUGAAGUCGCCAUCCUUGGGUGGAUCCUGUGUGGCAUUAAGUUGUCGUGCAGGGGAUGCCCAUCGUUUACUGUGAAAAAAUUAGAGUGUUCAAAGCAGGCUUAUGCCGUUGAAUAUAUUAGCAUGGAAUAAUAAGAUAGGACCUUGGUACUAUUUUGUUGGUCUGCGCACCAAGGUAAUGAUUAAUAGGGACAGUUGGGGGUAUUCGUAUUUCAUUGUCAGAGGUGAAAUUCUUGGAUUUUUGAAAGACGAACUACUGCGAAAGCAUUUACCAAGGAUGUUUUCAUUAA